CCUACGGGAGGCAGCAGUGGGGGAUAGUGCACAAUGGGGGAAACCCUGAUGCAGCAACGCCGCGUGGGGGAAGAAGGUGUUCGGAGUGUAAACCACGGUUCGUGGGGAAGAGAAUGACGGUAACCAAGGAGAAAGCUCCGGCUAACUACGGGCCAGCAGCCGCGGUAAUACGUAGGGAGCAAGCGUUGUCCGGAUUUACUGGGUGUAAAGGGUGCGGAGGCGGUCUGGCAAGUCAGACGUGACAACCACAGGCUCAACCUGUGGACGGCGUUUGAAACUGUGGGGCUGGAGUGAAGUAGAGGUCGGCGGAAUUCCCUGUGUAGCGGUGCACUGCUUCGUGCUCGGGAGGCACCCCAGUGGCGACGGCGGCCUACUGGGCUUUACCUGACGCUGCGGCACGACAGCCUGGGUAGCAAACCGGCUUCGAUCCCCCUGUAGUC
Molecule: ribosomal RNA, 440 nt
Filed under: uncultured bacterium
Lineage: Bacteria
Description: partial 16S ribosomal RNA
Rfam family: Bacterial small subunit ribosomal RNA
Source: RNAcentral